AUAAUGGGUCAGCGACUUAUAUUCUGUAGCAAGGUUAACCGAAUAGGGGAGCCGAAGGGAAACCGAGUCUUAACUGGGCGUUAAGUUGCAGGGUAUAGACCCGAAACCCGGUGAUCUAGCCAUGGGCAGGUUGAAGGUUGGGUAACACUAACUGGAGGACCGAACCGACUAAUGUUGAAAAAUUAGCGGAUGACUUGUGGCUGGGGGUGAAAGGCCAAUCAAACCGGGAGAUAGCUGGUUCUCCCCGAAAGCUAUUUAGGUAGCGCCUCGUGAAUUCAUCUCCGGGGGUAGAGCACUGUUUCGGCAAGGGGGUCAUCCCGACUUACCAACCCGAUGCAAACUGCGAAUACCGGAGAAUGUUAUCACGGGAGACACACGGCGGGUGCUAACGUCCGUCGUGAAGAGGGAAACAACCCAGACCGCCAGCUAAGGUCCCAAAGUCAUGGUUAAGUGGGAAACGAUGUGGGAAGGCCCAGACAGCCAGGAUGUUGGCUUAGAAGCAGCCAUCAUUUAAAGAAAGCGUAAUAGCUCACUGGUCGAGUCGGCCUGCGCGGAAGAUGUAACGGGGCUAAACCAUGCACCGAAGCUGCGGCAGCGACGCUUAUGCGUUGUUGGGUAGGGGAGCGUUCUGUAAGCCUGCGAAGGUGUGCUGUGAGGCAUGCUGGAGGUAUCAGAAGUGCGAAUGCUGACAUAAGUAACGAUAAAGCGGGUGAAAAGCCCGCUCGCCGGAAGACCAAGGGUUCCUGUCCAACGUUAAUCGGGGCAGGGUGAGUCGACCCCUAAGGCGAGGCCGAAAGGCGUAGUCGAUGGGAAACAGGUUAAUAUUCCUGUACUUGGUGUUACUGCGAAGGGGGGACGGAGAAGGCUAUGUUGGCCGGGCGACGGUUGUCCCGGUUUAAGCGUGUAGGCUGGUUUUCCAGGCAA
Molecule: ribosomal RNA, 924 nt
Filed under: Escherichia coli
Lineage: Bacteria; Pseudomonadati; Pseudomonadota; Gammaproteobacteria; Enterobacterales; Enterobacteriaceae
Description: partial 23S ribosomal RNA
Rfam family: Bacterial large subunit ribosomal RNA
Source: RNAcentral